This 139-nucleotide ribosomal RNA is filed under the name Aeromonas veronii. Its description in RNAcentral is "partial 16S ribosomal RNA". It matches the Rfam family "Bacterial small subunit ribosomal RNA", at positions 1 to 129 of the family's 1533-position model. The record is from RNAcentral. Lineage: Bacteria; Pseudomonadati; Pseudomonadota; Gammaproteobacteria; Aeromonadales; Aeromonadaceae.
UUAAAUUGAAGAGUUUGAUCAUGGCUCAGAUUGAACGCUGGCGGCAGGCCUAACACAUGCAAGUCGAGCGGCAGCGGGAAAGUAGCUUGCUACUUUUGCCGGCGAGCGGCGGACGGGUGAGUAAUGCCUGGGGAUCUGC